RNAcentral lists this ribosomal RNA (253 nucleotides) under uncultured bacterium. Its description in RNAcentral is "partial 16S ribosomal RNA". It matches the Rfam family "Bacterial small subunit ribosomal RNA", at positions 524 to 776 of the family's 1533-position model. The record is from RNAcentral.
UACGUAGGGUGCAAGCGUUAAUCGGAAUUACUGGGCGUAAAGCGUGCGCAGGCGGUGAUGUAAGACAGAUGUGAAAUCCCCGGGCUUAACCUGGGAACUGCGCUUCUAACUGGCAGGCUUGAGUGUGGCAGAGGGGGGUGGAAUUCCACGUGUAGCAGUGAAAUGCGUAGAUAUUGGGAGGAACACCAGUGGCGAAGGCGGCUCACUGGACCGGAACUGACGCUGAGGCGCGAAAGCGUGGGGAGCAAACAGG